GGGGGUGUAGCUCAGUUGGUCUAGAGCGCGGUCCUUUUAAGUCCGGCGUCGCGGGUUCGAAUCCCGCCACCCCCACCA
RNAcentral lists this transfer RNA (78 nucleotides) under Actinomycetota bacterium. Its description in RNAcentral is "tRNA-Lys". It matches the Rfam family "tRNA". Rfam says of the family: Transfer RNA (tRNA) molecules are approximately 80 nucleotides in length. The record is from RNAcentral. Lineage: Bacteria; Bacillati; Actinomycetota.